UUUUCCCGCCUUUUCCCCUCACGAUUUUCCCGCCUUUUCCCCUCACGAUUUUCCCGCCUUUUCCUCCAUCUUGUGAUCCCAUCCCCUCACGAUUUUCCUGCCUUUUCCCCUCACAAUUUUCCCACCUUUUCCCCUCACGAUUUUCCUUUCUCUCCUCCAUGUUCUCACCCCGUCCCCUCACGAUUUCCCCGCAGGAGGAGGGGCUCAAAUUGACCUUCCAGAAACAUCGGCUGGGGCCCAACGGGGCCCAACGGGCGCAAAACCCCCCGAAGAAAAACAGCAAGAAACUGGUGGAGCUGGAGCUGCGCUGCCUCGAGGGGCUCCGGGACCCCCCUGGGGGACCCCGAGGGGGGCCCUGGGGGCCCCUCCCCCCCACCGCGGCGACGGCCCCGAAUUCUCCGACCCCCGGCUGCUCCCGUUCGUGGAGCAGCGGCGGGAAAAGUGGCACCGGAAAAAGUUCAUCCCCUCCCCCCCCUCAGGUUUGGACCUUUCCAAGAUGGUGGCGUUGAUGGGGGGCGGAGCCAGCAGCGCAGGGGGCGUGGCCUCUCCUUCCUUAGCCCCGCCCCCGCGCUUCCGGCCGGAAGCAGAAGAGGAAGCGGAAGCAGGGAGCGGGUGCUGCCCCCUGCUGGCCGACCCCAUGUUGCCACCCACUUCCGACUCGGAUUAAGCCCCGCCCCUUUUCCUGCCGGGGCCACGCCCCCCUUCCCAUAUUUAUAUAAAUAUGUAAAAUGUCUCUGUGUCAUAGGGGGCGGGGCGGGGGGCGGGGCUGAGCGGGGCGGGGCCGAGCAGGGCGGGGUCAAUGUGGGCAGGGCUGGUGGGAUGGGAGGGGCCUGGCGGGUUUUUUUUAAUAAAAGGUUUGGAAAUGGAGCA
This 870-nucleotide long non-coding RNA is filed under the name Serinus canaria (Common canary). RNAcentral describes it as "lncRNA (ENSSCAG00000008944.1)". The record is from RNAcentral. Lineage: Eukaryota; Metazoa; Chordata; Aves; Passeriformes; Fringillidae.